Molecule: ribosomal RNA, 254 nt
Filed under: uncultured bacterium
Lineage: Bacteria
Description: partial 16S ribosomal RNA
Rfam family: Bacterial small subunit ribosomal RNA
Source: RNAcentral
UACGGGGGGAGCAAGCGUUGUUCGGAUUUACUGGGCGUAAAGGGCGCGUAGGCGGUCAGCACAAGUCAAUUGUGAAAUCUCCGAGCUUAACUCGGAAAGGUCAACUGAAACUGUGCGACUAGAGUGCGGAAGGGGCAACUGGAAUUCUUGGUGUAGCGGUGAAAUGCGUAGAUAUCAAGAGGAACACCUGCGGCGAAGGCGGGUUGCUGGGCCGACACUGACGCUGAAGCGCGAAAGCCAGGGGAGCGAACGGG